ACGCCCGCUCAGAAACUUAAAGGAAGUUGACGGGGCCCGGCACAAGCGGUGGAGCAUGUGGUUCAAUUCGACGCAACGCGAAGAACCUUACCUGGGCUAGACAACAGUGGACCGUCCUAGAGAUAGGAUUUCCCUUCGGGGACCGCUGGUUCAGGUGCUGCAUGGCUGUCGUCAGCUCGUGCCGUGAGGUGUUGGGUUAAGUCCCGCAACGAGCGCAACCCUCGUACUUAGUUGCCACCAUUCAGUUGGGCACUCUAGGUAGACUGCCGGCGUUAAGCCGGAGGAAGGUGGGGACGACGUCAAGUCAUCAUGGCCCUUAUGCCCAGGGCCACACACGUGCUACAAUGGGCGGCACAAAGGGUCGCGAACCCGCGAGGGGGAGCCAAUCCCAAAAAGCCGUUCUCAGUUCGGAUUGGAGUCUGCAACUCGACUCCAUGAAGUUGGAAUCGCUAGUAAUCGCGGAUCAGCACGCCGCGGUGAAUACGUUCCCGGGCCUU
RNAcentral lists this ribosomal RNA (497 nucleotides) under uncultured delta proteobacterium. Its description in RNAcentral is "bacterial SSU rRNA". It matches the Rfam family "Bacterial small subunit ribosomal RNA", at positions 886 to 1382 of the family's 1533-position model. Lineage: Bacteria; Deltaproteobacteria. The record is from RNAcentral.